Molecule: ribosomal RNA, 480 nt
Filed under: uncultured bacterium
Lineage: Bacteria
Description: partial 16S ribosomal RNA
Rfam family: Bacterial small subunit ribosomal RNA
Source: RNAcentral
GAUGAACGCUGGCAGCGUGCUUAACACAUGCAAGUCGAGCGAUGAAGUUUCCUUCGGGAAACGGGUUAGCGGCGGACGGGUGAGUAACACGUGGGUAACCUGCCUCAUAGAGUGGAAUAGCCUUCCGAAAGGAAAAUUAAUACCGCAUAACGUUGAAAGAUGGCAUCAUCAUUCAACCAAAGGAGCAAUCCGCUAUGAGAUGGACCCGCGGCGCAUUAGCUAGUUGGUGGGGUAACGGCCUACCAAGGCGACGAUGCGUAGCCGACCUGAGAGGGUGAUCGGCCACAUUGGGACUGAGACACGGCCCAGACUCCUACGGGAGGCAGCAGUGGGGAAUAUUGCACAAUGGGGGAAACCCUGAUGCAGCAACGCCGCGUGAGUGAUGAAGGUUUUCGGAUCGUAAAGCUCUGUCUUUGGGGAAGAUAAUGACGGUACUCAAGGAGGAAGCCACGGCUAACUACGUGCCAGCCGCCGCGGUAA